AUAAACCCGGGAAACUGGGUAUAAUACCCGAUAGAUCUCGGCUGCUGGAAUGCAUCGAGCUCUAAAGCUCCGGCGCCUGAGGAUGGGUCUGCGGCCUAUCAGGUAGUAGUGGGUGUAGCGUACCUACUAGCCUACGACGGGUACGGGUUGUGAGAGCAAGAGCCCGGAGAUGGAUUCUGAGACACGAAUCCAGGCCCUACGGGGUGCAGCAGGCGCGAAAACUUUACAAUGCCGGCAACGGCGAUAAGGGGACCUCGAGUGCCAGGUUACAAAUCUGGCUGUCGUGAUGCCUAAAAAGCAUUGCAUAGCAAGGGCCGGGCAAGACCGGUGCCAGCCGCCGCGGUAACACCGGCGGCUCGAGUGGUAACCGUUAUUAUUGGGUCUAAAGGGUCUGUAGCCGGCCGGAUAAGUCUCUUGGGAAAUCCAGCAGCUUAACUGUUGGGCUUUCAGGAGAUACUGUCUGGCUCGAGGCCGGGAGAGGUGAGAGGUACUUCAGGGGUAGGGGUGAAAUCUUGUAAUCCUUGAAGGACCACCAGUGGCGAAGGCGUCUCACCAGAACGGACCUGACGGCAAGGGACGAAAGCUAGGGGCACGAACCGGAUUAGAUACCCGGGUAGUCCUAGCCGUAAACGAUACUCGCUAGGUGUCGGCCACGGUGCGACCGUUGUCGGUGCCGUAGGGAACGCCGUGAAGCGCAGCCACCUGGGAAGU
Molecule: ribosomal RNA, 711 nt
Filed under: uncultured Methanosaeta sp.
Lineage: Archaea; Methanobacteriati; Methanobacteriota; Methanomicrobia; Methanotrichales; Methanotrichaceae
Description: bacterial SSU rRNA
Rfam family: Archaeal small subunit ribosomal RNA
Source: RNAcentral